RNAcentral lists this ribosomal RNA (476 nucleotides) under uncultured organism. RNAcentral describes it as "partial 16S ribosomal RNA". It matches the Rfam family "Bacterial small subunit ribosomal RNA", at positions 333 to 800 of the family's 1533-position model. The record is from RNAcentral.
ACACUCCUGCGGGAGGCAGCAGUGGGGAAUAUCGCACAAUGGGCGCAAGCCUGAUGCAGCCAUGCCGCGUGUAUGAAGAAGGCCUUCGGGUUGUAAAGUACUUUCAGCGGGGAGGAAGGCGAUAAGGUUAAUAACCUUGUCGAUUGACGUUACCCGCAGAAGAAGCACCGGCUAACUCCGUGCCAGCAGCCGCGGUAAUACGGAGGGUGCAAGCGUUAAUCGGAAUUACUGGGCGUAAAGCGCACGCAGGCGGUCUGUCAAGUCGGAUGUGAAAUCCCCGGGCUCAACCUGGGAACUGCAUUCGAAACUGGCAGGCUAGAGUCUUGUAGAGGGGGGUAGAAUUCCAGGUGUAGCGGUGAAAUGCGUAGAGAUCUGGAGGAAUACCGGUGGCGAAGGCGGCCCCCUGGACAAAGACUGACGCUCAGGUGCGAAAGCGUGGGGAGCAAACAGGAUUAGAUACCCCAGUAGUCCCAUGA